Molecule: long non-coding RNA, 1022 nt
Filed under: Pan troglodytes (chimpanzee)
Lineage: Eukaryota; Metazoa; Chordata; Mammalia; Primates; Hominidae
Description: long non-coding RNA NONPTRT011168
Source: RNAcentral
UCUUCCAACAGUAUUUCACAAUGAACAAGAACCAAAUUUAUCUAUCAUACUAAAGUAUUUCAGAAAUGAAUAUUGAAAACAGCCUGUAAGUUUUCAUCCAAUAUUUAAAACCACCUCCUGAACUAAAAUUGGUCUUCAAAAAUCAUGGCGUAUUAACAUUUUCCAAACAUGCCCUGCUGACUAGAAGGUCCUGUUAUUCUUUCUUUUGAACUUCCCAGUAAGUUUCCUUGUUCCCUAUUCCUAGGAUUUAAAGUGCAAAGGUACUUUUUAUGAGCUAUUAGGACAAGUAUUCUUCAUUGAAAAUAAACUUUUGCAGAAAACAAAUCCUGUGCUUGACUAACAGCAAAGACAUGUUAAGAAAUUUCUGAGCUCCAAACCAUGAGGAAUCAGAAUCACAACUUUCAGAGUAAUAACUCACAUUUUUUCUAAAGCAUAGGAAGCUAAUUUUGUAUAAUGAACAAAUGUGGUUGUGCCAAAAUAGGUUUUGCCACAGUUAAUUUCCACUUUCUCUUCUUAAAAAUAAGGUAUAGUCCAAGCUAAUGUAGAUAAGGAAAGGCACGCACGAUACCAACAAACUGCAAAACAAAGUAUAGCCCCAAAGCCAUGCACUUUUUAGAGUCAUGAGUAGGGACAAUGAAAAAAUUAAGGUGCAAAAUAGAUGUGAACUUCCACAAUCUUUCAAUGGACUGUCUUAAUAGUUUAAUUUAAAAGCAUAGGAUUUUUCAUAUAUCUUCAGAUAGUCAAUUAGAGAGUUUUUUUUCUUCUUUAAAUGGAAGAAUUUCUUAAAUGGAAGCACAAGAUCAUACCUACACAGCUGGUGAGCCUCAAAAUAGAAUAAUGUCUACUUUAUUAAUAAAGUUUCCAGUCAGGCAGAAUCAAGAGUAAUCUUCAUAUAUGCAUAAGGAUAUUAUCAUUAUAACAAUAUUUUUAGUAGAAAAGUCUAUAAACAAAUGUUCUCCCAAAGGGACAUCCAUAUAAUGGAAUCCUGGAGACAUUAAAAUAAUGUUAGAGCUGGAAGGUGG